Molecule: ribosomal RNA, 862 nt
Filed under: Petriella setifera
Lineage: Eukaryota; Fungi; Ascomycota; Sordariomycetes; Microascales; Microascaceae
Description: eukaryotic LSU rRNA
Rfam family: Eukaryotic large subunit ribosomal RNA
Source: RNAcentral
CAUAUCAAUAAGCGGAGGAAAAGAAACCAACAGGGAUUGCCUCAGUAACGGCGAGUGAAGCGGCAACAGCUCAAAUUUGAAAUCUGGCUGCCUGUGCAGUCCGAGUUGUAAUUUGAAGAGGAUGCUUUUGGCAAGGUGCCUUCCGAGUUCCCUGGAAUGGGACGCCAUAGAGGGUGAGAGCCCCGUAUGGUCGGUCGCCGAGCCUCUGUAAAGCUCCUUCGACGAGUCGAGUAGUUUGGGAAUGCUGCUCAAAAUGGGAGGUAAACCCCUUCUAAAGCUAAAUACUGGCCAGAGACCGAUAGCGCACAAGUAGAGUGAUCGAAAGAUGAAAAGCACUUUGAAAAGAGAGUUAAACAGCACGUGAAAUUGUUGAAAGGGAAGCGCUUGCGACCAGACUUGUGCUCGUCGAAUCAGCCGUCGCUCGUCGGCGGCGCAUUUCGGCGGGCUCAGGCCAGCAUCAGUUCGCUGUGGGGGAGAAAGGCGGUAGGAAUGUGGCUCCUCGGAGUGUUAUAGCCUACCGUAUAAUACCCCUCGGCGGACUGAGGACCGCGCAUCUGCAAGGAUGCUGGCGUAAUGGUUGUCAGCGACCCGUCUUGAAACACGGACCAAGGAGUCGUCCUAAUAUGCGAGUGUUCGGGUGUCAAACCCCUACGCGUAAUGAAAGUGAACGGAGGUGAGAGCUUCGGCGCAUCAUCGACCGAUCCUGAUGUUCUCGGAUGGAUUUGAGUAUGAGCAUAUUGGGCCGGACCCGAAAGAAGGUGAACUAUGCCUGUAUAGGGUAAAGCCAGAGGAAACUCUGGUGGAGGCUCGCAGCGGUUCUGACGUGCAAAUCGAUCGUCAAAUAUGGGCAUGGGGGCGAAAG